Long non-coding RNA from Anguilla rostrata (American eel), 1160 nucleotides. RefSeq lists it as uncharacterized. The transcript is spliced from 2 exons. Lineage: Eukaryota; Metazoa; Chordata; Actinopteri; Anguilliformes; Anguillidae. The record is from RefSeq and is a predicted model, not a curated record.
UCUGUGAGCCUGUGCUGGAAAGCUUGUGUGUGAUUCCGGUGUUUUAAUAAAAUCCUGGAAAUAGGACAGAAUAAAAGAGAACUUUAUUGUCAAAACAAGUGGAAAUUUCCUGUGAUGCAUGUAGCAGUUAGUUGUAGCACACACUGACAAAGACAGUAUAAUCAACAAAGUAUUAAAACAAUCAAGAAUGCAGGAAAUGAAGGAAUAAGAAACCAGCCACAGUGAUGGUGCAAAAAACAGGGUGACACAGUUAAACACCCGAAAUGAGGGAAGUACAGGACAUUUCCUCACGGGCUGAUUCACUGUGAGGUGAGGUGUGGGUGUGGUCAGGGUGAGGUGUGGGUGUGGUCCCGGUCAUACACUCUGCCGUAGAGCGCAGCAGUCACCAGACCGCGCUCCAUCCCGUGGCGGGUCAUGUAGAAGCCCCGCCCCUCCCAGCCGCUGUGGUCGAUGCGGUCCAGCUGCAUGUGGCUCCCGAGCACGCUUGGGAACACGUGGCGCGUGCUGAAGUUUCCCAUCAGCCGGAAGUCCAGGAGCGUGUCGGCGUGGUCGAUCGCUUUCCCACAGGUCUGAGGGGUGAGACCGCUGCACCUAAUCAGUGCACACACCUGCAAGUACGUUCUGUUCUUAUGCAGGCCAUCGAAGGCUGCCAAGGCAUAGAGCUCCUGGGGCGCAGUGCGCCUUCGGAACUGCAGGUGGCAGCAGAGUGCGUUAUCGCACACAGACAGGUUACCCUCAGCGCCCUCUACGAGCACCAUGGUGUAAUUGUCACGCAUCAUCACUGCCUUGAAGGGGCUGCUGGGGGCAGCUGGCUCCUCGGGGUGACCCCUUCCCUCAGGGACAGUCCGCUUCCACUCCCUGUCCCCCUGCUGGUAUUGCUGGGGCUCCUGCUCUCCUGAGAAGGGUGGUGGGAGGGGGGGGCUGUGGGAGUCCAGAACAGGAAGAGUUUUCACCAGCAGCUGGCCGGCUUCUGGCUCGCCCGCCCGUGCGUGGUGAUAUAGAGCCUCCCGGGGGCUGAAUAUCCCGCUGCCGGUCAUUCUCAGCUUUUCUACGCGAAGGUUAGCGGACAGGAGGGUGGUGCUAGUGGCGUAGGAGAAGGAGCGGUGAAACUGUACAGAAUCCAGCAGGGGGAGUGCGUUCAUCCAGGCUGUGGGGAAGAU